This 90-nucleotide transfer RNA is filed under the name Candidatus Omnitrophota bacterium. Its description in RNAcentral is "tRNA-Ser". It matches the Rfam family "tRNA". Rfam says of the family: Transfer RNA (tRNA) molecules are approximately 80 nucleotides in length. The record is from RNAcentral. Lineage: Bacteria; Pseudomonadati; Candidatus Omnitrophota.
GGAGAGGUGGCUGAGUGGUUUAAGGCGCACGCCUCGAAAGCGUGAGAGCUCGAAAGGGCUCCGGGGGUUCAAAUCCCUCCCUCUCCGCCA